Molecule: ribosomal RNA, 362 nt
Filed under: Clostridioides difficile
Lineage: Bacteria; Bacillati; Bacillota; Clostridia; Peptostreptococcales; Peptostreptococcaceae
Description: partial 23S ribosomal RNA
Rfam family: Bacterial large subunit ribosomal RNA
Source: RNAcentral
GGUCAAGUUAUUAAGGGUGCAGGGCGGAUGCCUUGGCACUAGGAGCCGAUGAAGGACGUGAUAAGCUGCGAUAAGCUUCGGGGAGUUGCACGUAAACUUUGAUCCGAAGAUUUCCGAAUGAGGAAACUCACUUAGAGUAAUGUCUAAGUAUCAUUAAGUGAAUACAUAGCUUAAUGAGGGGAACUCAGGGAACUGAAACAUCUAAGUACCUGAAGGAAGAGAAAGAAAUUCGAUUCCGUAAGUAGCGGCGAGCGAACGCGGAUUAGCCCAAACCAAUAAAGUUUUCUUUAUUGGGGUUGCGGACAUAUCAUAACGAAGAGGUAUCGUAAUUGAAGAGGUUUGGAAAGACCCACCACAGAAGG